UACGGAGGGGGCUAGCGUUGUUCGGAAUUACUGGGCGUAAAGCGCACGUAGGCGGCUUUGUAAGUUAGAGGUGAAAGCCCGGGGCCCAACUCCGGAAUUGCCUUUAAGACUGCAUCGCUAGAAUUGUGGAGAGGUAAGUGGAAUUCCGAGUGUAGAGGUGAAAUUCGUAGAUAUUCGGAAGAACACCAGUGGCGAAGGCGACUUACUGGACACAUAUUGACGCUGAGGUGCGAAAGCGUGGGGAGCAAACAGG
Molecule: ribosomal RNA, 253 nt
Filed under: uncultured bacterium
Lineage: Bacteria
Description: partial 16S ribosomal RNA
Rfam family: Bacterial small subunit ribosomal RNA
Source: RNAcentral